This 253-nucleotide ribosomal RNA is filed under the name uncultured bacterium. Its description in RNAcentral is "partial 16S ribosomal RNA". It matches the Rfam family "Bacterial small subunit ribosomal RNA", at positions 524 to 776 of the family's 1533-position model. The record is from RNAcentral.
UACAGAGGGGGCAAGCGUUGUUCGGAAUUACUGGGCGUAAAGAGCGCGCAGGCGGCUGGUCAAGUCCGAUGUGAAAGCUCCCGGCUUAACUGGGAAAUUGCAUCGGAAACUGAUCGGCUGGAAGGUGGGAGAGGGUAGCGGAAUUCCCGGUGUAGUGGUGAAAUGCGUAGAUAUCGGGAGGAACACCAGUGGCGAAAGCGGCUACCUGGCCCACAACUGACGCUGAUGCACGAAAGCUAGGGGAGCAAACAGG